CUCUUCCAUUCUUCUCUGUAAAGUCUAAAGUUUACUUUUUGAUUGUUCUGUUUAUGGUUCUUAUUGCGAAUUCUUUGGGUGCCUUUCAAUUCUUUGUAAGUGACUCUGAAAAGAAAUGUAGGAAUGUUAAGAACAGAACUAAUUCGGAGUGAGAUUGCAAUUUUAUUAAUUGAUUAUUUUUCUCUGUUUGAAUCGUUAUUAAGGGCAAUUUAUGAAUCUCCAUUACUUCCAUUUGAAAAGAGUAAGGCUAUAUUCAGUAGCGAGUUGUAUUUUUUCCUUCCUUAUUGAAUAGUUGUUGAGACUUGAGAAAUUAAUAACGGAAAGAAAUGAAUGAAUUCCGUGUUUAUGAUCUAAUGAUGGUAAUAGUAUUAAUAAGAAGUAAGAAUUAAUAGCGUUAGAGUGCUAAAGCAAAUGCAAAAGAGAGAAAUAGUUGCUAAUUUAUUAAAUAAUCUUUGGACAUUUGGGUCAUAAUCAUAUGACCAAUUAGCUUCUAAGUAGGUCAUACUUUGCUUCCCAAUUAACAGUUUCUUUGUUACGUGCUGCUAUGUUCAUAUGUCAUGCUAGUCACUACGAAUAUGACUGUACAAAUUGGCUUUGAUGUGUCUGAGUGACCUGCAGUGUAUGAUGCUACAUUGUUUUUUUCGGAUUGUAGUGGAUUGGUCUUUAUAAUACUGGUUUCUGGUCUGGUUGUUGCUUUGUGUACAAUGAUGCAUAAAUUUUGAAUCAUCUUACAACACUUAAUGGCUUUUUACUUCAUUUUGGUAGUAUUAAUGUGCUGAAGUUAUCAGUCUUUAUUGGUAGUGGAUUGGUCUAUGUUAUACUGGUUUCUGGUCUGGACUGUCUGGUUGGUGCUUUUAUGCAAUGAUGCUUAAAUUUUUUAUCAUCUAAUUAGCACACUGAAUGGAGUUGUACUUUAAUGACAGUGUUUAAGUGAUUACUUUUGCUGGUGAUUUUGAUAAAUUAUCCUUAGGAAAGCGGGCAUUCACUUUUCCAUAUAAUUUCACCAGAAACAGGUAGCCGUUUUGUUUGUUUGAUGUUAUUAUGCUAUAUCUUUUAUUAACACCACCAAAUCAUUUAAAUGAAUCUUUAUAUUUGCAAGAUGAAAGUUUUGUGUGUCACCCAGUAAAAUAUAAGGAAGAAUUUGGGGCAAACAAUCAAUUGGUUUUCAUUAUUAAAAAUGCAACAGGUAAAACAAAACAAUAAAUUGCACAAUGAUCAGUUGUUGGACUCAUAGAGGAUGUGGAUUAAUAGAACAAAUUUGAAACUGGAGCAGUUACUUGCAAAGCAACACCAAUUCUUUACUGAAUAAGAUUCAUUCUGUUUGAGAAAAUGCUGCAUAAGCAUGCACAGAGCAGAGUAUGAGAAGAUUUUGUUCAUUGAUGUGCGAGCUUCCUUAGUCAAUUAACUUUUUUUUGCACAGACAGCACAGCAAUCCAAAGUUGCAUUUACCAUUUAUAAAUAUUUGAGGAAGAGAAGUUAUCUUGUUAUGAGUUCACAUUUGGUAUGAGAGAAGACUGAAAAGUCAAUAACUCCAUUAUCAAUUGCAUUGGACUGCUGCUAUUAGCUUGUUACUUAUAGUCCUUAGUUUUCUGCUUUUGGGGUAUGAUGGCCCUUGUCCAAAUAGGCACCAGGCAUGAUGAGUAUCGGUUAUUUGAGAAGCACCGAUGCUUCAAGGGCAUGUGAUUCUGUGUAUUUUGUUGGUAUAAGUUGAGAGAUGAGGGGAAACAUUAAUUUAUCUAAUAGUGUUAUAUAGCUUGUUGCUCUUGACUUUGAAUUAAUUAUAGGAGACAACUGAUAACAUGUCUGUUAUGGAAAGUCAAUCACUAUAUUAUUUCUCUGUAUAUGUUGUAUUCUAUAUUCCUAUUUAGGAUUUUUUAUUUAGAAUUUCUUCCUAAUUAGUAGAACACAAUUAUAGGAAUCAAUUGUAUAUAUAUACCCAUGUACAGAUUAAUUGAAAUCAAGGAGAAUUAUCUCUUUCUACAUGAUAUCAGAGCAGGUCAUCUAUCUAGGAUGACUAUUUGUUCUUACCAUCCAACUCAGAAGAGACCUUUGCCGCCGACCGGCGGUCCCCUCUGAUCCGGUCGCCGGAAUCCAAGCGCGUGAGGCUCACACGCGCAACUCAGGUUCUCGCCGUUUCUUCAUUCGCCGGCUUGUGGAGGCGCGUUCGCCAACCGUUUCGACUCCGAUCAGCAUUGCUAGCGUCGUCUCAACCUCCUUAUUCCACCACUGUGUGCUGUUUGCCUGAUCCAGUUUCGGUUAGUUUUUUUUGUCUCAACAAAUGGCAGACAAUAAGAAUGUUAUUUCUGAUGUGAUUCCGGUGAUGACUAAGAUCAUGGAACACAAACUUAAUGGUUCGAAUUACCUGGAGUGGAGUAAGACUGUUAGGGUCUAUUUGCGUAGCAUUGAUAAGGAUGAUCACCUUACUAAAGACCCACCUACUGAUGAUACACGGCAAACUUGGCUAAGAGAGGAUGCUCGGUUGUUUUUGCAGUUUCGGAACUCGAUUCAUAGUGAGGUAAUUAGUUUAAUUAAUCAUUGUGAAUUUGUUAAGGAAUUGAUGAAUUACUUAGAUUUUCUGUAUUCUGGUAAAUGGAAUAUCUCCCGUAUUUUAUGAUGUUUGUAAGGCAUUCUACCGUGUUGAGAAGAGGAUAAGUCUCUCACGGCUUAUUUUAUGGAUUUUAAACGGGUAUAUGAGGAACUUAAUAUAUUGUUGCCUUUUAGUUCUGAUGUGAAAGUUCAGCAGGCCCAACGGGAGCAACUGGCUGUUAUGAGUUUUCUUGCAGGCCUUCCUACAGAGUAUAAGACUGCUAAAUCUCAGAUUCUCUUCAGUUCUGAGAUUUUCUCUUUGCAUGAAACGUUUACACAGGUCCUUUGUACAAAGAGUACUAUAUCUUCACAGCCUGCCAGUAGUGUUCUUAUUAGCCGUAAUCUAAAUGGACAACAGGGUAAUAGAAGAGGAAGUAGAGGAGGAAUUAUAAGCAACAGAGAUAAUCAGCGUAAUGGGGAGGCUAGUUCUAAUUAGGACUCAAGAUGAGCCGUUUGUUAUUAUUGCCAUGAGUCUGGCCAUACAAAAUAUAAUUGUCCGCAACUUCAGAGAAAAAAAUCAGCGAUCACAGAUGGCAAAUAUGGCAGCAGAGGAUUCUACAGUAUCUUCAUCUGAGAAAACUGUUUUGGUAUUUGCAGAGGAUUUUGCACAAUUUUUCCAGUAUCAGGCAUCUCUAAAUUCCACCAGUUUCCCUGUCACUGCGAUCGCUGAGUCAGGAUCUUACGACGAAGCAAAUUAUUGGUAGAGGACGUGAGUCAGGUGGUCUCUACAUUCUGGAAAAUCAUGUACCGCAGUCGCUUGUUUGCUUCAGUACCUUAACGUCUCUUGAAGCUCAUUGUAGAUUGGGUCAUUCUUCUUUGUCUACCAUGAAGAAGUUGUGUCCUCAAUUUCAGUCUUUAUCAGUACUAGAAUGUGAGUCGUGUCAGUUUGCAAAAUAUCAUCGUUUGCUUUCUGUGUCUAGAGUCAAUAAACGGGUUUCAUCCCCUUUUGAGUUAGUUCAUUCUGAUGUUUGGAGUCCUUGUUCUGUUAAUUCUAAAACUGGAUUUCGUUAUUUUGUUACUUUUGUUGAUGAUUACUCUCGUAUUACCUGGUUAUAUUUAAUGAAGAAUCAUUCUGAGUUGUUUUCUA
Molecule: long non-coding RNA, 3673 nt
Organism: Hevea brasiliensis (rubber tree)
Lineage: Eukaryota; Viridiplantae; Streptophyta; Magnoliopsida; Malpighiales; Euphorbiaceae
Exons: 2
Source: RefSeq, a predicted model, not a curated record